RNAcentral lists this ribosomal RNA (450 nucleotides) under uncultured bacterium. RNAcentral's name for it is "partial 16S ribosomal RNA". It matches the Rfam family "Bacterial small subunit ribosomal RNA", at positions 354 to 796 of the family's 1533-position model. The record is from RNAcentral.
GUGGGGAAUCUUCCGCAAUGGACGAAAGUCUGACGGAGCAACGCCGCGUGAGUGAUGAAGGUUUUCGGACUGUAAAGCUCUGUUGUUUAGGACGAAAGUGCCUGUUGCAAACAGUUACAGGUAUUGACGGUACUAAACGAGGAAGCCACGGCUAACUACGUGCCAGCAGCCGCGGUAAUACGUAGGUGGCAAGCGUUGUCCGGAAUUAUUGGGCGUAAAGAGCAUGUAGGCGGGAAUCUAAGUCUGUUGUGAAAAUGCGGGGCUCAACCCCUUAUUGCGAUGGAAACUGGGUUUCUUGAGUGCAGGAGAGGAAAGGGGAAUUCCCAGUGUAGCGGUGAAAUGCGUAGAUAUUGGGAGGAACACCAGUGGCGAAGGCGCCUUUCUGGACUGUGUCUGACGCUGAGAUGCGAAAGCCAGGGUAGCGAACGGGAUUAGAAACCCGGGUAGUCC